GAUGAACGCUGGCGGCGUGCUUAACACAUGCAAGUCGAACGAAGCACUUUCUUACGAUCCCUUCGGGGUGACGAGUUAGUGACUGAGUGGCGGACGGGUGAGUAACGCGUGGGUAACCUGCCUUAUACAGGGGGAUAACAGUUGGAAACGGCUGCUAAUACCGCAUAAGCGCACAGUACCGCAUGGUAUAGUGUGAAAAACUCCGGUGGUAUAAGAUGGACCCGCGUCUGAUUAGCUAGUUGGUGAGGUAACGGCCCACCAAGGCGACGAUCAGUAGCCGAUCUGAGAGGAUGAACGGCCACAUUGGGACUGAGACACGGCCCAGACUCCUACGGGAGGCAGCAGUGGGGAAUAUUGCACAAUGGGCGAAAGCCUGAUGCAGCGACGCCGCGUGAGUGAUGAAGUAUUUCGGUAUGUAAAGCUCUAUCAGCAGGGAAGAUAAUGACGUAC
This 450-nucleotide ribosomal RNA is filed under the name bacterium WTE3003. Its description in RNAcentral is "bacterial SSU rRNA". It matches the Rfam family "Bacterial small subunit ribosomal RNA", at positions 28 to 459 of the family's 1533-position model. The record is from RNAcentral.